AAAACCGGAUCAUGUAUCUCUCUGCAGCAUUGGAACCCUGGGUAUCAAUAUGAAUAAAACUACUUUGACAAAGUGUUUGCUAAUCUGUACCAUUACCUUGUGCUUAACAGUGUUGUCGUUAGCAACACAAUCCCCCGACAGAAAUAGUCCAGAAGAAACCAAACAUGAAAGGAGGGAGCCACGGGGCGUCCUUGGUGAUCUGGAUUUUGACAUGCUUAAAGGAAAGUACCGAAAUCGCCAAGUGGGGCAUGGACUAAAUAUUUCUCAUUACGGCAAAUGAUACAAAUUGAUCAGAUGACUGCGUUUUCAAACCAUUUCAAAACAACAACAGAACAUCAAUGCAGAGAAGAGCACAGACAAUAUUAACAAAAAA
Long non-coding RNA from Magallana angulata, 373 nucleotides. RefSeq lists it as uncharacterized. The transcript has 5 exons. NCBI's taxonomy places the organism in Eukaryota, Metazoa, Mollusca, Bivalvia, Ostreida, Ostreidae. The record is from RefSeq and is a predicted model, not a curated record.